UACGGAGGGUGCAAGCGUUAAUCGGAAUUACUGGGCGUAAAGCGCGCGUAGGCGGUUUGUUAAGUCGGAUGUGAAAGCCCUGGGCUCAACCUGGGAACUGCAUACGAUACUGGCAGGCUAGAGUGCAAUAGAGGGGGGUAGAAUUCCAGGUGUAGCGGUGAAAUGCGUAGAUAUCUGGAGGAAUACCGGUGGCGAAGGCGGCCCCCUGGAUUGACACUGACGCUGAGGUGCGAAAGCGUGGGUAGCAAACAGG
RNAcentral lists this ribosomal RNA (253 nucleotides) under uncultured bacterium. Its description in RNAcentral is "partial 16S ribosomal RNA". It matches the Rfam family "Bacterial small subunit ribosomal RNA", at positions 524 to 776 of the family's 1533-position model. The record is from RNAcentral.